Molecule: non-coding RNA, 69 nt
Organism: Rattus norvegicus (Norway rat)
Lineage: Eukaryota; Metazoa; Chordata; Mammalia; Rodentia; Muridae
Source: Rfam
GGGGAUUUAGCUCAGUGGUAGAGCGUUUGCUUAGCAAGUGCAAGGCCCUGGGUUCGGUCCCCAGCUCCG